GGACGUAUGGUCUAGUGGUUAAGACGUCUCGGCUGCAAAAUGUUCGUUGCCUUGAAACUGUUACAAUGAUAUGACAGGUGAAAGGGUUCGAAUGAUACAAUGCUCCCUGAGAAGGUCCCGGGUUCGAACCCCGAUACGUUCA
Molecule: transfer RNA, 142 nt
Filed under: Podospora anserina S mat+
Lineage: Eukaryota; Fungi; Ascomycota; Sordariomycetes; Sordariales; Podosporaceae
Rfam family: tRNA
About the family: Transfer RNA (tRNA) molecules are approximately 80 nucleotides in length. Their secondary structure includes four short double-helical elements and three loops (D, anti-codon, and T loops).
Source: Rfam by way of RNAcentral